RNAcentral lists this transfer RNA (75 nucleotides) under Pseudofrankia asymbiotica. Its description in RNAcentral is "Frankia asymbiotica tRNA-Pro". It matches the Rfam family "tRNA". Rfam says of the family: Transfer RNA (tRNA) molecules are approximately 80 nucleotides in length. Their secondary structure includes four short double-helical elements and three loops (D, anti-codon, and T loops). Further hydrogen bonds mediate the characteristic L-shaped molecular structure. tRNAs have two regions of fundamental functional importance: the anti-codon, which is responsible for specific mRNA codon recognition, and the 3' end, to which the tRNAs corresponding amino acid is attached (by aminoacyl-tRNA synthetases). tRNAs cope with the degeneracy of the genetic code in two manners: having more than one tRNA (with a specific anti-codon) for a particular amino acid; and 'wobble' base-pairing, i.e. permitting non-standard base-pairing at the 3rd anti-codon position. Lineage: Bacteria; Bacillati; Actinomycetota; Actinomycetes; Frankiales; Frankiaceae. The record is from RNAcentral.
CGGGACGUGGGGUAGAGGUUGCCCACCUGAUUUGGGAUCAGGCCCACGUCGGUUCGAGUCCGGCCGUCCCGACGA